RNAcentral lists this ribosomal RNA (301 nucleotides) under Parabacteroides distasonis. RNAcentral describes it as "partial 16S ribosomal RNA". It matches the Rfam family "Bacterial small subunit ribosomal RNA", at positions 1237 to 1533 of the family's 1533-position model. Lineage: Bacteria; Pseudomonadati; Bacteroidota; Bacteroidia; Bacteroidales; Tannerellaceae. The record is from RNAcentral.
GAACAGAGGGCAGCGAAGUCGUGAGACGGAGCCAAUCCCAGAAAACCGAUCGUAGUCCGGAUUGCAGUCUGCAACUCGACUGCAUGAAGUCGGAAUCGCUAGUAAUCGCGGAUCAGCAUGCCGCGGUGAAUACGUUCCCGGGUCUUGUACACACCGCCCGUCAAACAAUGGGAGUGGUGUUUACCAGAAGUCGUUAGCCUAACCGCAAGGAGGGCGGCGACCACGGUGAGCACCGUGACUAAUGUUAAGUCGUAACAAGGUAGCCGUACCGGAAGGUGCGGCUGGAUCACCUCCUUUCAAG